CAGCAGCCGCGGUAAUACGGAGGGUGCAAGCGUUAAUCGGAAUUACUGGGCGUAAAGCGCACGCAGGCGGUCUGACAAGUCAGAGGUGAAAUCCCCGGGCUUAACCUGGGAACUGCAUUUGAAACUGUCAGGCUGGAGUCUUGUAGAGGGGGGUAGAAUUCCAGGUGUAGCGGUGAAAUGCGUAGAGAUCUGGAGGAAUACCGGUGGCGAAGGCGGCCCCCUGGACAAAGACUGACGCUCAGGUGCGAAAGCGUGGGGAGCAAACAGGAUUAGAUACCCCUGUAGUCCCUGUCUCUUAUAC
RNAcentral lists this ribosomal RNA (301 nucleotides) under uncultured bacterium. RNAcentral's name for it is "partial 16S ribosomal RNA". It matches the Rfam family "Bacterial small subunit ribosomal RNA", at positions 509 to 807 of the family's 1533-position model. The record is from RNAcentral.